This is a long non-coding RNA of Epinephelus moara (kelp grouper), 1529 nucleotides long. RefSeq lists it as uncharacterized. The transcript has 2 exons. The record is from RefSeq and is a predicted model, not a curated record. NCBI's taxonomy places the organism in Eukaryota, Metazoa, Chordata, Actinopteri, Perciformes, Serranidae.
UGAAAAUCUUGUAAGUUUAUUAUUUUUAUAAUUAGACACAAAUGAAUUUAUCACGUCUGUGUCACAAGAAAAAAAACAAUUAUAGGAACAUGAUGUGAAUCCUUGGAGAAGACGAUUAGAUCAUUAACAGUCCUGGACUUUCUGUUUAUUUGAAAGCUGUCAGCACAGAGACUUACUCAACCAUGUGGUUUAUACUGUGAACUGGUUCACGGUCCGAAGGUUGGGUUUAGUAUGCGAGAGGCUCACUGAGGAGACAAGGGGAAGGAUCACAGCCAAUUCCCCAGCACGAGUAGGAGGAAGACUGUAUACACAUCGUGUUUCACCUCGGAGACUCCUUUCUCUCACUGGUCAACGUCCCUUCUUCUACCCUGUGAUCGGGCAGUGGAGCCUUUAGGUUUAUCUGCCAUUGGAAAAGCUCUGACUCACACAAACACACUUUAUAGGUGAUGACUCAUUGCAACACAGGCCAUUCACAUCCACAGUACGCCGAAGCAAAACUGGUACGUGCCAGUGUGACUGUGUUUGCAUACACAUUAACCUUUAUAUGCAUUAAGGUGCUAUUGUGCAGAGGGCUGGUGACACACCACCUACGCAGCUUUUAUCUCACACAGUCACGGAGAUAAUCAGUGUUGCUGUAAGGGAGGUUUUGUUAGCCCUCAUAUCUGUUAGACUGAAAAUCUUGUCACUUGCUGGGCAGCUCUAUGAAUUUUUGCGUGUGUGUAAAAGUGUGUAUAUUGUCAAACAGAUAAUGAUAUUAACUCACAAUAUGUGUGUGCGUUCGUAUGUACAAGUCCAAGGCUGAAAAGUAUUCAUCAUGACACAGGCAGAUGAGGAAUGAUAAAUGUGUUGGGUGACUCAUGCAAGACAGACACAGGAGCCAUCAGCUGACACAGUGGCAGCAGCAGCCUCCACUGUGGCAGACAACACAUACUGUACCCCCCACACAUGCAUAUAUAUCCUGAUAAACAGAGACAGAGUGGUGCAAAAUGUCCCCGGCUUCAUUUGUACAACUUUUGCAUGUCUGUGGAAGAGAUGAGUCAUUUUCAACUGCAGUCGUCACGUAACUACUGUCACUUAGGCUGAUUCACACUCUGAACAAUUUCUAAAAUAAUAAUCAACCCCUCUGCUGCCUUUUUUAUGCAAAGUGACUGAGGGUACACCAUGUACUUAUAAUAGAAUGGCAACUCACUGGAACAACGCAAAAUGUGCAACUUCUUUAUUUAUAAAGAUGAAUAACAUAUUAAAAUGCACUGGGAGCUCCUGUACAGCUGAAUAUGUAAUGUGCAUUUUGGCAUGAGCUAUAUAAAAAUAUGUAAGACAUGAACUGGCUGGAGUUUCAAACACACGUUAGUAAAGAACAGGUUCUCUUACAAAGCAUCACACGACGGCAGCACGCUGACAAUACAAUACUGCUCAGACCACCAGUGUGAGGUGAUUUUGGCAAUGACACGGCUUUUCAUGAACAUCAUAAAACAGUACUACACACACAGAUAGACAAAAACUAAGGCAAAUAAAGAAAUUAAUGUUCA